GUAGGUGGCAAGCGUUGUCCGGAAUUAUUGGGCGUAAAGCGCGCGCAGGCGGUCCUUUAAGUCUGAUGUGAAAGCCCACGGCUCAACCGUGGAGGGUCAUUGGAAACUGGGGGACUUGAGUACAGAAGAGGAAAGCGGAAUUCCAAGUGUAGCGGUGAAAUGCGUAGAGAUUUGGAGGAACACCAGUGGCGAAGGCGGCUUUCUGGUCUGUAACUGACGCUGAGGCGCGAAAGCGUGGGGAGCAAACAGGAUUAGAUACCCUGGUAGUCCACGCCGUAAACGAUGAGUGCUAAGUGUUAGGGGGUUUCCCGCCCCCCUUAGUGCUGCAGCUAACGCAUUAAGCACACCGCCUGGGGGAGUACGGCCGCAAGGCUG
RNAcentral lists this ribosomal RNA (375 nucleotides) under uncultured organism. RNAcentral's name for it is "partial 16S ribosomal RNA". It matches the Rfam family "Bacterial small subunit ribosomal RNA", at positions 527 to 896 of the family's 1533-position model. The record is from RNAcentral.